Molecule: long non-coding RNA, 538 nt
Organism: Bombyx mori (domestic silkworm)
Lineage: Eukaryota; Metazoa; Arthropoda; Insecta; Lepidoptera; Bombycidae
Exons: 2
Source: RefSeq, a predicted model, not a curated record
ACGUCAAUGUAAUAAAAUAACUAUAAUCAAUCAAAAUUAUAUUUAUUGUUUUUUGGGCGUAAAACUAACCAAACAUGACGAUGUAUGUUUAUGUAAAUAUACGAGUAUAACACUAUUAUGAUUUUUGGCAUACUAAAACCAAAAGUAUGCAAUGUGAAUUGUAUUUACGACCAUAGAAGACUUUGCGUCUUAAAACUAUUACGAGUAUGUGCCCUCGAUUCCGACCUCAAAAUUAUCAAAUCAGUUUUAUUUGUCAAACGAUUGGGACAAAAUAAACAACGUUCCUUGAAGUUACAAGUAUGUAGUUCGUCUAUACUCUUGAAUACCCUUAACAUCAAGGAGGCAUGACAUUGUGAAAUGCUGACAACACCAGUCAAAAAAAAAUCAAUGUAAGCAACGAUACAUUUCUUCAACGUGAAUAAAAAGUAUUUGUUGUGUCUGUUCAUUUUACAUAUUUUAUAAUGAUCCAUAAUAGUAUUUAUUAUUGGUGUACUUUUUUAAGGUCAAGGAACAAUAAAAUGUAGACGUUAAUUAUCGA